UGGGCAACCUGCCCUCAGCUCUGGGAUAACUCCAAGAAAUUGGGGCUAAUACCGGAUAUGACCGCUGACCGCAUGGUCUGGUGGUGGAAAAGAUUUAUCGGCUGGGGAUGGGCC
RNAcentral lists this ribosomal RNA (114 nucleotides) under uncultured bacterium. Its description in RNAcentral is "partial 16S ribosomal RNA". It matches the Rfam family "Bacterial small subunit ribosomal RNA", at positions 118 to 231 of the family's 1533-position model. The record is from RNAcentral.